Molecule: ribosomal RNA, 493 nt
Filed under: uncultured bacterium
Lineage: Bacteria
Description: bacterial SSU rRNA
Rfam family: Bacterial small subunit ribosomal RNA
Source: RNAcentral
ACUCAAAGGAAUAGACGGGAGCCCGCACAAGCAGUGGAGUAUGUGGUUUAAUUCGAUGCAACGCGAAGAACCUUACCAGGAUUUGACAUCCUAAGAAGGCCGGGUAAAGCUGGCUGUGCCCUUCGGGGAACUUAGAGACAGGUGGUGCAUGGUUGUCGUCAGCUCGUGUCGUGAGAUGUUGGGUUAAGUCCCGCAACGAGCGCAACCCUUACGGUUAGUUGCUACGCAAGAGCACUCUAGCCGGACUGCCGUUGACAAAACGGAGGAAGGUGGGGACGAUGUCAAAUCAUCAUGCCCCUUACGUUCUGGGCUACACACGUACUACAAUGGCGUAAACAAAGGGGAGCGAAGGAGCGAUCCGGAGCAAAUCUCAAAAAUACGCCUCAGUUCAGAUUGCAGGCUGAAACUCGCCUGCAUGAAGUCGGAAUUGCUAGUAAUCGCGAAUCAGCAUGUCGCGGUGAAUACGUUCCCGGGCUUUGUACACACCGCCCGU